CAAAAGUUUGGUCCUGGCUUUAAUAUCAGCUUUAACCCAAUUUACACAUGCAAGCCUCCGCAGCCCCGUGAGAAUGCCCUCAAUCCCCCGUCCGGGGACGAGGAGCCGGUAUCAGGCACAUAAAUUUAGCCCAAGACGCCUUGCUUAGCCACACCCCCAAGGGAAUUCAGCAGUGAUAAACAUUAAAACAUAAGUGAAAACUUGACUUAGUCAGGGUUAAGAGGGCCGGUAAAACUCGUGCCAGCCACCGCGGUUAUACGAGAGACCCUAGUUGAUAUAUUCGGCGUAAAGAGUGGUUAUGGAAAACAAGCACUAAAGCCAAAGAGCCCUCAGGCCGUUAUACGCACCCGGGGCCUCGAACCACUAUCACGAAAGUAGCUUUACCCUCGCCCACCAGAACCCACGAGAGCUGGGACACAAACUGGGAUUAGAUACCCCACUAUGCCCCGCCGUAAACUUAGAUAUAUUAGUACAACAAAUAUCCGCCCGGGAACUACGAGCGCCAGCUUAAAACCCAAAGGACUGGCGGUGCUUCAGACCCCCCUAGAGGAGCCUGUUCUAGAACCGAUAACCCCCGUUCAACCUCACCACUCCUUGCCCCUCCCGCCUAUAUACCACCGUCGCCAGCUUACCCUGUGAAGGUACUACAGUAAGCAGAAUGAGCAUUCCUCAGAACGUCAGGUCGAGGUGUAGCGUACGGAGUGGGAUAGAAAUGGGCUACAUUAUCUGAAACAGAUUAUUUACGAAAGGCCGCCUGAAAUCAAGCACCCGAAGGUGGAUUUAGCAGUAAAAAGGGAAUAGAGUGCCCUUUUGAAGUUGGCUCUGAAGCGCGCACAUACCGCCCGUCACUCUCCCCAGCGACCACCCAAAAAAGGUAAAUAACGCAAUAAUAACAGCAAGGGGAGGCAAGUCGUAACAUGGUAAGUAUACCGGAAGGUGUACUUGGAAUAAU
Molecule: non-coding RNA, 952 nt
Filed under: Clupea harengus (Atlantic herring)
Lineage: Eukaryota; Metazoa; Chordata; Actinopteri; Clupeiformes; Clupeidae
Description: rRNA (ENSCHAG00020000003.1)
Rfam family: Bacterial small subunit ribosomal RNA
Source: RNAcentral